RNAcentral lists this ribosomal RNA (253 nucleotides) under uncultured bacterium. RNAcentral's name for it is "partial 16S ribosomal RNA". It matches the Rfam family "Bacterial small subunit ribosomal RNA", at positions 524 to 776 of the family's 1533-position model. The record is from RNAcentral.
UACGUAGGGACCAAGCGUUGUUCGGAUUUACUGGCCGUAAAGGGCGCGUAGGCGGCAAUUCAAGUCAGUUGUGAAAUCUCCGAGCUUAACUCGGAACGGUCAACUGAUACUGCUUUGCUAGAGUGCAGAAAGGGCAACCGGAAUUCUUGGUGUAGCGGUGAAAUGCGUAGAUAUCAAGAGGAACACCUGAGGCGAAGGCGGGUUGCUAGGCUGACACUGACGCUGAAGCGCGAAAGCUAGGGUAGCAAACGGG